This 463-nucleotide ribosomal RNA is filed under the name Theileria sinensis. Its description in RNAcentral is "SSU rRNA". It matches the Rfam family "Eukaryotic small subunit ribosomal RNA", at positions 527 to 1028 of the family's 1831-position model. Lineage: Eukaryota; Apicomplexa; Aconoidasida; Piroplasmida; Theileriidae. The record is from RNAcentral.
AUUCUACUUUCAGAGUAUCAAUUGGAGGGCAGUCUGGUGCCAGCAGCCGCGGUAAUUCCAGCUCCAAUAGCGUAUAUUAAAAUUGUUGCAGUUAAAAAGCUCGUAGUUGAAUUUCUGCUGCAUCGUCGCAUCUCUUGCUGAGUGCUUCGUUUCGGCUUAUUUCGGAUUGAUUUUUUCUUUCCGGAUGAUUACUUUGAGAAAAUUAGAGUGCUCAAAGCAGGCUUUUGCCUUGAAUAGUUUAGCAUGGAAUAAUAAAGUAGGACUUUGGUUCUAUUUUGUUGGUUUUAGGUACCAAAGUAAUGGUUAAUAGGAACAGUUGGGGGCAUUCGUAUUUAACUGUCAGAGGUGAAAUUCUUAGAUUUGUUAAAGACGAACUACUGCGAAAGCAUUUGCCAAGGAUGUUUUCAUUAAUCAAGAACGAAAGUUAGGGGAUCGAAGACGAUCAGAUACCGUCGUAGUCCUA